CAAUAGCGUAUAUUAAAGUUGUUGCGGUUAAAAAGCUCGUAGUUGGAUUUCUGCCGAGGACGACCGGUCCGCCCUCUGGGUGAGUAUCUGGCUCGGCCUGGGCAUCUUCUUGGAGAACGUAGCUGCACUUGAUUGUGUGGCGCGGUAUCCAGGACCUUUACCUGGAGGAAAUUAGAGUGUUUCAAGCAGGCACACGCCUUGAAUACAUUAGCAUGGAAUAAUAAGAUAGGACCUCGGUUCUAUUUUGUUGGUUUCUAGAGCUGAGGUAAUGAUUAAUAGGGAUAGUUGGGGGCAUUCGUAUUUAACAGUCAGAGGUGAAAUUCUUGGAUUUGUUAAAGACGGACUACUGCGAAAGCAUUUGCCAAGGAUGUUUUCAUUGA
RNAcentral lists this ribosomal RNA (380 nucleotides) under uncultured eukaryote. RNAcentral describes it as "partial 18S ribosomal RNA". It matches the Rfam family "Eukaryotic small subunit ribosomal RNA", at positions 592 to 976 of the family's 1831-position model. The record is from RNAcentral.